GGGCAUGUGGCGGAAUUGGCUUACGCGUAGCACUCAAAAUGCUAUGGCCUCACGGCCGUGUGGGUUCGAGUCCCACCAUGCCCA
RNAcentral lists this transfer RNA (84 nucleotides) under Parcubacteria group bacterium. RNAcentral's name for it is "tRNA-Leu". It matches the Rfam family "tRNA". From Rfam's summary of the family: Transfer RNA (tRNA) molecules are approximately 80 nucleotides in length. Their secondary structure includes four short double-helical elements and three loops (D, anti-codon, and T loops). The record is from RNAcentral. RNAcentral also lists the same sequence under 1 other name.